AUUGGGGCAUCCUAUACAUGCAAGUCGAGCGGACAGAUGGGAGCUUGCUCCCUGAUGUUAGCGGCGGACGGGUGAGUAACACGUGGGUAACCUGCCUGUAAGACUGGGAUAACUCCGGGAAACCGGGGCUAAUACCGGAUGGUUGUUUGAACCGCAUGGUUCAGACAUAAAAGGUGGCUUCGGCUACCACUUACAGAUGGACCCGCGGCGCAUUAGCUAGUUGGUGAGGUAACGGCUCACCAAGGCGACGAUGCGUAGCCGACCUGAGAGGGUGAUCGGCCACACUGGGACUGAGACACGGCCCAGACUCCUACGGGAGGCAGCAGUAGGGAAUCUUCCGCAAUGGACGAAAGUCUGACGGAGCAACGCCGCGUGAGUGAUGAAGGUUUUCGGAUCGUAAAGCUCUGUUGUUAGGGAAGAACAAGUGCCGUUCAAAUAGGGCGGCACCUUGACGGUACCUAACCAGAAAGCCACGGCUAACUACGUGCCAGCAGCCGCGGUAAUACGUAGGUGGCAAGCGUUGUCCGGAAUUAUUGGGCGUAAAGGGCUCGCAGGCGGUUUCUUAAGUCUGAUGUGAAAGCCCCCGGCUCAACCGGGGAGGGUCAUUGGAAACUGGGGAACUUGAGUGCAGAAGAGGAGAGUGGAAUUCCACGUGUAGCGGUGAAAUGCGUAGAGAUGUGGAGGAACACCAGUGGCGAAGGCGACUCUCUGGUCUGUAACUGACGCUGAGGAGCGAAAGCGUGGGGAGCGAACAGGAUUAGAUACCCUGGUAGUCCACGCCGUAAACGAUGAGUGCUAAGUGUUAGGGGGUUUCCGCCCCUUAGUGCUGCAGCUAACGCAUUAAGCACUCCGCCUGGGGAGUACGGUCGCAAGACUGAAACUCAAAGGAAUUGACGGGGGCCCGCACAAGCGGUGGAGCAUGUGGUUUAAUUCGAAGCAACGCGAAGAACCUUACCAGGUCUUGACAUCCUCUGACAAUCCUAGAGAUAGGACGUCCCCUUCGGGGGCAGAGUGACAG
This 1018-nucleotide ribosomal RNA is filed under the name Bacillus velezensis. RNAcentral's name for it is "bacterial SSU rRNA". It matches the Rfam family "Bacterial small subunit ribosomal RNA", at positions 36 to 1037 of the family's 1533-position model. Lineage: Bacteria; Bacillati; Bacillota; Bacilli; Caryophanales; Bacillaceae. The record is from RNAcentral.